GACGGGGCCCGCACAAGCGGCGAGCAUGCGGAUUAAUUCGAUGCAACGCGAAGAACCUUACCAAGGCUUGACAUACACCGGUAACGCCCAGAGAUGGGUGCCCCUUUGUGGUCGGUGGACAGGUGGUGCAUGGUUGUCGUCAGCUCGUGUCGUGAGAUGUUGGGGUUAAGUCCCCGCAACGAGCGCAACCCUCGUCCCAUGUUGCCAGCGGGUGAUGCCGGGGACUCAUGGGAGACUGCCGGGGUCAACUCGGAGAAGUGGGGAUGACGUCAAAUCAUCAUGCCCCUUAUGUCUUGGGCUUCACGCAUGCUACAAUGGCCGGUACAGAGGGUUGCGAUGCCGUGAGGCGGAGCGAAUCCCAAAAAGCCGGUCUCAGUUCGGAUUGGGGUCUGCAACUCGACCCCAUGAAGUCGGAGUCGCUAGUAAUCGCAGAUCAGCAACGCUGCGGUGAAUACGUUCCCGGGCCUU
This 468-nucleotide ribosomal RNA is filed under the name uncultured Cellulomonas sp. Its description in RNAcentral is "bacterial SSU rRNA". It matches the Rfam family "Bacterial small subunit ribosomal RNA", at positions 916 to 1381 of the family's 1533-position model. The record is from RNAcentral. Lineage: Bacteria; Bacillati; Actinomycetota; Actinomycetes; Micrococcales; Cellulomonadaceae.